Podarcis lilfordi (Lilford's wall lizard) is the source of this 66-nucleotide non-coding RNA. Lineage: Eukaryota; Metazoa; Chordata; Lepidosauria; Squamata; Lacertidae. The record is from the annotation of a GenBank genome assembly.
GCAGCUCAGUGCUAGAGCAUCUGCUUUCCAUGCAGAAGGUCCCAGGUCCAAUACCUGGAAUCUCCA